Molecule: long non-coding RNA, 384 nt
Organism: Anguilla rostrata (American eel)
Lineage: Eukaryota; Metazoa; Chordata; Actinopteri; Anguilliformes; Anguillidae
Exons: 3
Source: RefSeq, a predicted model, not a curated record
CUUCCAUAGGUACCGGUCCGCAGUUAGCACGUUGCGACCUGCCAGUUCAUCUCCAAUACUUCGAAGCCGAUCAACGUCGCCGCCUCUUCGUCUGCGUCGACAUACAAUAACUGGAGCAAUUUAUUGGGAGGAUAGAAAGUCCCCUUCCCUCUAAGCGGACAGGUAGACCCAAACCAUGCCAGGAAGAUGUCUCCCACAGCAUAAAAGAGCCACUGGACCCCCACACUGUAGCGGUCACACAUUCAGGCCUUCCAGCGUGAUGUCCUCCACCACAUUCGACUUACAAAGCUUUUGUCCAAACAUCUGCUGCAGCAUGGUUAUCAGGUACCUGUGGUGCUCCUUGCUCAUAGCGUAGUGGUGGUUGAAGUCCAAGAAGACCACCUC